AGAACGAACGCUGGCGGCAUGCCUAAUACAUGCAAGUCGAACGAACACUUCGGUGUUAGUGGCGCGCGGGUGCGUAACGCGUGGGAAUCUGCCCUUGGGUUCGGAAUAACAGUUGGAAACGACUGCUAAUACCGGAUGAUAUCGAAAGAUCAAAGAUUUAUCGCCCAGGGAUGAGCCCGCGUAGGAUUAGCUAGUUGGUGAGGUAAAGGCUCACCAAGGCGACGAUCCUUAGCUGGUCUGAGAGGAUGAUCAGCCACACUGGGACUGAGACACGGCCCAGACUCCUACGGGAGGCAGCAGUAGGGAAUAUUGGACAAUGGGCGCAAGCCUGAUCCAGCAAUGCCGCGUGAGUGAUGAAGGCCUUAGGGUUGUAAAGUCUCUUUUACCCGAGAUGAUAAUGACAGUAUCGGAGAAUAAGCCCCGGACUAACUCCGUGCCAGCAGCCGAC
Molecule: ribosomal RNA, 448 nt
Filed under: uncultured soil bacterium
Lineage: Bacteria
Description: bacterial SSU rRNA
Rfam family: Bacterial small subunit ribosomal RNA
Source: RNAcentral